This 254-nucleotide ribosomal RNA is filed under the name uncultured bacterium. RNAcentral's name for it is "partial 16S ribosomal RNA". It matches the Rfam family "Bacterial small subunit ribosomal RNA", at positions 524 to 776 of the family's 1533-position model. The record is from RNAcentral.
UACGGAGAGUGCAAGCGUUGUUCGGAAUUAUUGGGCGUAAAGCGCGUGUAGGCGGCUUGAUAAGUCUGGCGUGAAAGCCUGAAGCUCAACUUCAGAAGUGCGCUGGAAACUAUCGAGCUUGAGUACUGGAGGGGGAAGGGGAAUUCUCGGGUGUAGAGGUGAAAUUCGUAGAUAUCCGGAAGAACAUCAGUGGCGAAGGCGCCUUCCUGGACAGAUACUGACGCUGAGACGCGAAAGCGUGGGGAGCAAACAGG